CGGCGUGCUUCAAUACAUGCAAGUCGAACGAUAAGGUCUCUUCGGAGAUACAUAAGUGGCGGACGGUGAGUAAUAUGUAGAGAAUCUGCCCUAGAGAGUGGGACAACAGUUGAAACGACUGCUAAUACCGCAUAUGAGCAUAGUUGAGAUACUAUCUUGAAAACUCCGGUGCUCUAGGAUGAGUCUGCAUCUGAUUAGCUAGUUGGGGGUGUAAUGGACCACCAAGGCGACGAUCAGUAGCUGGUUUGAGAGGAUGAUCAGCCACAAUGGGACUGAGACACGGCCCAUACUCCUACGGGAGGUAGCAGUAGGGAAUUUUGCGCAAUGGGGGAAACCCUGACGCCAGCAACGCCGCGUGACCGAUGAAGCCCUUCGGGGUGUAAAGGUCUGUCAGUGGGGACGAAUAAUGACGGUACCCACAGAGGAAGCAUCGGCUAACUCCGUGCCAGCAGCCGC
This 456-nucleotide ribosomal RNA is filed under the name uncultured bacterium. RNAcentral's name for it is "bacterial SSU rRNA". It matches the Rfam family "Bacterial small subunit ribosomal RNA", at positions 40 to 518 of the family's 1533-position model. The record is from RNAcentral.